UAGAGCUGGGGAAAUGAAAGUUCAGAUUGGCUUUAGGCUCAGAUGGGAUCUCACAGCAGUGAGCUGUUCCAGUGAGACAGGAUGUCCCAGGGGUGACAGCCCUGAAUCAAGACAUCUUUCCCUAGUGUUUGGAGUUGGUAAAGGGUAGGAGGGUGAUGGAGGUCGGGUUGAUGGUGUGCCUAGCCUCAGGCUGUACUACAUCACAACUGAGCCCUCCCUGGUGUGUGUGUGUGUGUGUGUGUGUGUGUGUGUGUGUGUGUGUGUGUGUGUAUGUUGUGUACAUAUGUUUUGCAAAGGGUGUGUGAAGGGAGCCACUCACUCAGAAACCUAGUACAUGCUAGCAAUAGGUUAGACAGCUCCCAUGAGUUACUUAGCCACACAGCUAUCCUGUGUACUGGGAGUCAUUACCAACAUGUAAUGGCGAAACCAGUUAAUGUUGGAAAACCACUGGUUGGCUUAAAUUCACUUUGGGAAGUCUCAGAGCCCAUAUCUCUCAGUCUGAUCACUGUCACUUCUCUAGGCCCCUCUGGUAAAAUCUGGUUUUAGCUUCCCUCACCAGGAGACAGGGCAUGGGGUUUUGUCUUCAGACUCAAGAUACUGGAGGGUGAUUGUGGCCUAUACUAGUAUGUACCUUCUAUACCCCUGCUGUUAUCUUUGCCGUCAACACAUUGACAGUUUUUGAGUCGCAUUACUUUUUAGAAUAUAUAUAUCUAUAUCUAAACACACACACACACAUACACACACACACACACUUGUGUUUCAAGACAGGGUUUCUGUGUAACGUUACUACUGGCUGUCCUGGUACUAGCUCUGUAGACCAGGCUGGCCUCGAACUCAGAGAUCCACCUGCCUCUGCCUGCCAAGCGCUGGGAUUAAAGGGAGCAGGAGUGAAGUUGCAGGACUAUGCUCAGUCCAUGUGUGUCACAGCUGGUGCAGAGCAGACACGGGCACUAAUGUGGCUGACAUUUAUAGAGCCAGGUAGGAACUGGUUGGAUCAUGAAGGCAAAAGGAAGCCGUUUCUGGCGUCUGAACAUGAGAGUGUCUGAAGGUGAGUUCUAAGGCGUUGUAUGCAGGGGUAACUAGCAAGAACAGUGAGGUAGGAAACAGGGGCUAUGGAGGCCUGGGGACCAGAACUCUACCUAGGCUUUCAGUCCAGCUGCUCACUGGGGAGCAGGAAGGAGCUGGCAGUUCAUUUCAGUCCCAGAGGCAGCCAGGAGACCCGGGAUGCAAAAGGCCAGGAGGUGAAUGUCUGGUUAUAAUGGUCAAAGCAAAACAAAAGCAUGGGGGUGAGGGAGCUAGGGGUGUGGUUCAGGGUGCAGAUACUUGCCAUGUGUACACAAGGCCCCGGAGUUGAGGCCAAAUGUCACAAUAACAAGGGAGAAAAAAAAUCCAAAAAGGGCAAAUGCUUAUCAAAGUCACACAAUGGGAGUGUGGCCAAGUAGUUGAGACACAAUUAUACCAGGGUUCCUGAAAAAUCUUUGGUGGCAUCUGGGAUGGUACCCACUUUCCCUCUG
This 1514-nucleotide long non-coding RNA is filed under the name Cricetulus griseus (Chinese hamster). RNAcentral describes it as "lncRNA (ENSCGRG00015031972.1)". The record is from RNAcentral. Lineage: Eukaryota; Metazoa; Chordata; Mammalia; Rodentia; Cricetidae.